Molecule: long non-coding RNA, 1077 nt
Organism: Camelus dromedarius (Arabian camel)
Lineage: Eukaryota; Metazoa; Chordata; Mammalia; Artiodactyla; Camelidae
Exons: 2
Source: RefSeq, a predicted model, not a curated record
CGAAGUGGCUGAGAGCCAGCCUGGGUUUGGAUCCCAGCGCCACCACACUGUGGCCGUGGUCAUUUAGGCCACAGAACCCACAGGGGAGGGGAGUGUGGGCAGAGGUGUGGCUGGGACUGGUUUGGGUUGAGUGACCGUAAGCCCUGGUUUGCCUGGCCAAGGCUGGGUUUACGGCUGUUGGCCAGAGUCCCUUUCUGCUCUGUAAAGUGCUCUGGUUUGGACUUAUUAGCCAGCUGGUCUUAUGGCUUGUUCUGGAAGAUUCCGGGGCACUAAGGCAGGGAAUCAGCCGCCCGGUGCUUACUAGAAAGGUCCUCAUUCACGGCAAAAAGGAAAAUAAAAACAGUCCUGCUUCUCAGAAACAUGGCUGUGAUGCUGAGAACACUGCGUUUCGCCCUUUCCCCGUGCGUUUUUAAUCUACUUUGGACGUUACUGUCCACGGAAGAUGCCAUCUUGCUCGUCUUUCAUCUAACGCUGUGACGUAAGGCUUUUCCUGUGUGUUUACGCUCGGCACAGAGGUUGGUUUUGUUUUUUCAGAUGUUUUUAAUGGUUGCAUCACAUUCAGUCAUGGACCAUAAUUUACAUGGUGAAGCCUUGGAUGUCCUGGAACCUCUCCUACCUGGAGGGAGUGAUCUGGACACCCUGGCUGCUCACCUGCACUCUGGCCACAGCCUCCCCCAGACCUCUGAGCCUGGAACCUGGGUGUCUGGCGGCGUCUCACAUUGAGAAAAGGCACCCUGGAGGAGGAGCAGUUUUGGAGGGAAGAUGCCAAGAUCCAUCUGUACAGACUGUCUGAGGUGCCUCCGGCGCGAGCAGUUGGAGCUGCGGAUAUGAGCACACGACGUGCUCCUUCCCCCAAAUGUUCCCGGCCUCAGUGAGCAGCAUGUGGUCCAGACCCGGAGCCAGACACAGAGCAGGCAUCUCUGACACUGGCUUCUCCUCCCCACUCUGGUCUCUAAUCCAUCUCUCAGUUCUCCUAAUUUUCCUUCUCCACGAGCCUCUUUUUUUUUCCCCUAAACCAAGUAUGUAUGUAUGUAUGUAUGUAUAUAUUUUUACAUUUUAAAAAUUGAGUUAUAGUCA